This is a non-coding RNA of Gasterosteus aculeatus aculeatus (three-spined stickleback), 788 nucleotides long. The record is from RefSeq and is a predicted model, not a curated record. Lineage: Eukaryota; Metazoa; Chordata; Actinopteri; Perciformes; Gasterosteidae.
CAAAGGUCUGGAAUACAGUGAGAGAUUUUUCUAGAUAGUCCACCUCUCAUUUUUCGAGUGCACUUAAACGCAUCACGGACGUACUCCAGCACGUCACUAGAUGGCGCUUUCGCGCGCUUUUGGCUCACACGUAGACGUCAGUAGCGCGAGCGAAUAAAACGACGCUGGCUUGAUGAAGACGUCGCCUCGUCGUACGUCUCUCCAUUACUCCGCAGCCCGAGCCCAGUCACACUAAAACCAUCUGAGCUCCCAGUGGCCAAUCCAACAGCUUUAAAGCUGUCAAGUAGGAAGUGGCUGCUGAUGCCGAGGUGUCGCUACCUGCCUGAGUGCUCCGCCGUGCCACAUCUGUCCAUCUGUCAAGCAGCUGAACGCAGUAAAAUCGUUGUAAAGGAAGGGCGAUUUCUCGGAGGUUAACAACAAGCUGGCCUUUAAAAUAUUUAAGGAGCAUUUGCGGUGGGUUGGUGUUUGGGAGGUUCCGCAGGCUGAAAUGCCCAGAAACAUGAACGCAGCACAAACAUGUCCUGCUUCCCUUCACUCGUCAGCUGUGAACAUCCGCCAGGAAGCCGCUGCGUAUCUCAUCGGACUUGGUAAAACAUGUCACGUAUGAAGGUAAUUACCGGGAGACGGGCUUGUUGCGUUAAUGGAUAAAUGACAUGCUUUGUGCAGCACUCGGUUCUGUUUGAGUAGAAAAGUGCAGCCCAUUUACCAACUAUCCAAAGACAAGUCCUGUAGUGACAAAAGGCCUCAUGUUUUGAUAAAUGAUCCCUAAAAAGAACAUCACAGCACAA